CAGUCGCCACGGGAAUACGUAGGUGGCAAGCGUUGUCCGGAAUUAUUGGGCGUAAAGGGCUCGCAGGCGGUUUCUUAAGUCUGAUGUGAAAGCCCCCGGCUCAACCGGGGAGGGUCAUUGGAAACUGGGAAACUUGAGUGCAGAAGAGGAGAGUGGAAUUCCACGUGUAGCGGUGAAACGCGUAGAGAUGUGGAGGAACACCAGUGGCGAAGGCGACUCUCUGGUCUGUAACUGACGCUGAGGAGCGAAAGCGUGGGGAGCGAACAGGAUUAGAUACCCCCGUAGUCCCUGUCUCUUAUAC
RNAcentral lists this ribosomal RNA (301 nucleotides) under uncultured bacterium. Its description in RNAcentral is "partial 16S ribosomal RNA". It matches the Rfam family "Bacterial small subunit ribosomal RNA", at positions 509 to 807 of the family's 1533-position model. The record is from RNAcentral.